ACCUGCAAAGCAGGAAGAAGACCCAGCAGCCAGGCCAGCAGCCAUGCAGAGGGGACUGGGGGCUCUGCUGGGGCUUCUGUGGGUGCAGCUUUGCUGGGUGAGAGGGCAGCAGGUGGAGCAGAGUCCUUCAGCCCUGAGGCUCCAGGAGGGAACCAGCUCCACUCUGAGGUGCAAUUUUUCCACCACCAUGACCAGUGUGCAGUGGUUCCGACAGAAUCCUGGGGGCAGCCUCAGGAGUCUGUUUUUCCUGACUCCGGGGACAAAGCAGGAGGGAAGGUUAAAGGCAACCAUGAAUUCUAAGGAGCGCUACAGCACCCUGAUCAUUUCGACUUCUCAGCUGGAAGACUCAGGCACCUACCUCUGUGCAGCAGAGGCACAGUGCUCCCAGGGCACCUGCAGCCUGUCCCCAAACUUCAGCUGCACCUGCAGCCACAGCCUCUUCUCUCAGGGAGGACUUUCACAGCAGCCUCUGCACAGCUAUGGGUGUCCUGAUUCCUGUCAUAACACUGUCACCUCUGCUAACAGGAGACUCCUCAGCACUGUCAUCCAAGUUGGGUUGGACCCUUUUCCACACAGAAAUCCUUUGCAGGAAAAAUUUCUAAUAAGGAAGUAUUGA
Marmota monax (woodchuck) is the source of this 616-nucleotide non-coding RNA. The record is from the annotation of a RefSeq genome assembly. NCBI's taxonomy places the organism in Eukaryota, Metazoa, Chordata, Mammalia, Rodentia, Sciuridae.